GACGAACGCUGGCGGCGUGCCUAAUACAUGCAAGUUGAGCGCUGAAGGUUGGUACUUGUACCGACUGGAUGAGCAGCGAACGGGUGAGUAACGCGUGGGGAAUCUGCCUUUGAGCGGGGGACAACAUUUGGAAACGAAUGCUAAUGCCGCAUAAAAACUUUAAACACAAGUUUUAAGUUUGAAAGAUGCAAUUGCAUCACUCAAAGAUGAUCCCGCGUUGUAUUAGCUAGUUGGUGAGGUAAAGGCUCACCAAGGCGAUGAUACAUAGCCGACCUGAGAGGGUGAUCGGCCACAUUGGGACUGAGACACGGCCCAAACUCCUACGGGAGGCAGCAGUAGGGAAUCUUCGGCAAUGGACGAAAGUCUGACCGAGCAACGCCGCGUGAGUGAAGAAGGUUUUCGGAUCGUAAAACUCUGUUGGUAGAGAAGAACGUUGGUGAGAGUGGAAAGCUCAUCAAGUGACGGUAACUACCCAGAAAGGGACGGCUAACUACGUG
RNAcentral lists this ribosomal RNA (497 nucleotides) under uncultured bacterium. RNAcentral's name for it is "partial 16S ribosomal RNA". It matches the Rfam family "Bacterial small subunit ribosomal RNA", at positions 28 to 507 of the family's 1533-position model. The record is from RNAcentral.